AAAAAUGAAGAAAAAGAGGCCAAUUGUGAAAAUUCCUAAGUGAACCACGCCAAAAACAGGCUGAAGAAUCAUAGGAAGUUUACUGUUGCGGUUCUACCGCGACCGUGGCAAAACCGCGGUGAGAUGCUGUUGCGGACAAAAUGAGAAUCAGAGGGGCUGUUUGGCCGCGGUUCUAUUGCUACUGCGGCAGAACAGCGGUAGGCGCAGGAAAGUUUAGGGACAAAAGUGUCAACAUGAGAUUUUUAGCCCUAAACCUUAUAUUAGUCAAUAGAUUUCGCCAAAAGGAGACAUGUAUUGAGUUUUUAGAGUUCUU
RNAcentral lists this long non-coding RNA (313 nucleotides) under Nicotiana benthamiana. Its description in RNAcentral is "long non-coding RNA (NBEN_LNC024956)". The record is from RNAcentral. Lineage: Eukaryota; Viridiplantae; Streptophyta; Magnoliopsida; Solanales; Solanaceae.